GGCAAGAUGGCCGAGCGGUCUAAGGCGCCACGUUAAGGUGUUUAAACCCUUAAUCAUCAAUCCGUGGUCCGAAAGGGCGUGAGUUCGAAUCUCACUCUUGUCA
RNAcentral lists this transfer RNA (103 nucleotides) under Thermothelomyces hinnuleus. RNAcentral's name for it is "tRNA-Leu". It matches the Rfam family "tRNA". From Rfam's summary of the family: Transfer RNA (tRNA) molecules are approximately 80 nucleotides in length. Their secondary structure includes four short double-helical elements and three loops (D, anti-codon, and T loops). The record is from RNAcentral. Lineage: Eukaryota; Fungi; Ascomycota; Sordariomycetes; Sordariales; Chaetomiaceae. RNAcentral also lists the same sequence under 2 other names.